RNAcentral lists this transfer RNA (73 nucleotides) under Pseudomonadota bacterium. RNAcentral describes it as "tRNA-Ala". It matches the Rfam family "tRNA". Rfam says of the family: Transfer RNA (tRNA) molecules are approximately 80 nucleotides in length. Their secondary structure includes four short double-helical elements and three loops (D, anti-codon, and T loops). The record is from RNAcentral. RNAcentral also lists the same sequence under 6 other names. Lineage: Bacteria; Pseudomonadati; Pseudomonadota.
GGGGCCAUAGCUCAGUUGGGAGAGCACCUGCUUUGCAAGCAGGGGGUCGCCGGUUCGAGCCCGGCUGGCUCCA